GAGUAUGUUUGAGCAACUUAACUAUUGAAAUAUCUUUUUUUCCUUAUUCCGUUUCUCGCUUUAUCUUACCUUAUGUACCUCUUUUAGCGAUCUUAAUUAAACUUGAUACAAUUCAAUCAAAAUUAUCUAACACUUAAACAUAUAUAUUUUGUAUUCACAGAUGAAAGAAGUAGUAAGAAAUUAUAAUGUCGAGUCAACAUGGUUUAUUGAAGGAUAUAAGCCACCUGUUUCUGAAUACCUAAGCAAUGCACUGGCAACUACUACAUAUUACUACCUUGCGACAACAUCAUAUUUGGGUAUUAAGUCUGUUACGGAGCAGGAUUUUGAGUGGUUAUCAAAGAAUCCUAACCACCUGUUUCUGAAUACCUAAGUAAUGCACUAGCAACUACUACAUAUUACUACCUCGCAACAACAUCGUAUUUGGGCAUGAAGUCUGUUACAGAGCAGGAUUUUGAGUGGUUGUCAAAAAAUCCUAAAAUUCUUGAAGCUAGUGUGAUAAUAUGCCGAGUUAUUGAUGACAUAGCCACAUACAAGGUAUGAGUUGUAUCUCACAAACUUAUAUAAUUAUAUGUAAUUUAGAAAAAUAAAGUAUUGCGAUGAUAUAAAAGCUAACCCCUAAUCUAUCUACC
Molecule: long non-coding RNA, 629 nt
Filed under: Nicotiana benthamiana
Lineage: Eukaryota; Viridiplantae; Streptophyta; Magnoliopsida; Solanales; Solanaceae
Description: long non-coding RNA (NBEN_LNC006659)
Source: RNAcentral